AACGCACCUUGCGCUCCUUGGUAUUCCGAGGAGCAUGCCUGUUUGAGUGUCAUUAAAUUCUCAACUCCGAUCGAUUUGUUUCGACUUCGGAGCUUGGAUUUGGAGCGUGCUGGCGUCGGUCGGCUCCUCUUAAACGCAUCAGCGGAAUCUAACGUUUUGGAUGUCAGUGUGAUAAUCAUGUUGCGCUGUCAACCGAUCCUGAAAGGCCUGCUCAUAAUGGUCUUCGGACAACUUCAUAUCAAAUUUGACCUCAAAUCAGGUAGGACUACCCGCUGAACUUAA
This 282-nucleotide unclassified non-coding RNA is filed under the name uncultured Piloderma. Its description in RNAcentral is "sequence contains ITS2". The stretch from base 1 to 52 matches the Rfam family "5.8S ribosomal RNA", at positions 103 to 154 of the family's 154-position model. The record is from RNAcentral. Lineage: Eukaryota; Fungi; Basidiomycota; Agaricomycetes; Atheliales; Atheliaceae.